Lutra lutra (Eurasian river otter) is the source of this 886-nucleotide long non-coding RNA. RefSeq lists it as uncharacterized. Lineage: Eukaryota; Metazoa; Chordata; Mammalia; Carnivora; Mustelidae. The record is from RefSeq and is a predicted model, not a curated record. The transcript has 2 exons.
UCCUGCUGAGCAGGGAGCCUGAUGUGGGGCUUGAUCCCAGGACCCCGGGGUCAUGACCUGAGUCAAAGGCAGACACUUAACCAACUGAGCCACCCAGCUGCCCCUCAAGUUAUUUUUUCUACCAGUUAUGAAUGUUUUGUAUUUCUCCUGGACAAUACCUACUUGUAAUAUCAGCAUCUGAACAUGUAAUGGUAAAUAGCAACAUCAAAUGUUCGUUCCUAUGAGUAACUAAACAAGGCCCUAGGAAUGGCACCAGCUAGACAUGCUAUACUCUUGGGUCUUAGUCAUUUAUUUGACAGAUCACAAGUAGGCAGAGAGGCAGGCAGAGAGAGAGGGGGAAGCAGGCUCCCCGCUGAGCAGAGAUCGUGGGGCUUGAUCCCAGGACCCUGAGAUCAUGACCUGAGCCUAAGGCAGAGGCUUAACCCACUGAGCCACCCAGGCGCCCCUGACACCGUGUUUUUUAAAACAGCCUCUGAACAUCCUUUGGAACAUAAAUGGAACAUUUCUGAACACAGAUUGCAGGGGUCAGCAAACUUUUCCUGUAACGGACCAGAUAGUAAAUCAUUUAGGUUUUAGUUCCCAUAAGGUUGGUUGGUCUCUCUCUUUUCUAAGAUUUUACUUAUUUAUUUGACAGAGACACAGCUUGAGAGGGAACACAAGCAGGGGAAGUGCGAGAGGGAGAAGCAGGCUUCCCGCUGAGCAUGGAGCCUGAUGAGGGUCUCCAUCCCAGGACCCUGACCUUCAACCUAACAACUGAGCUACCCAGGAGCCCCCAUAAAGUCUCUCUCACAACUACUCAACACCUCUUUUGUAAUGCAAAACCAGGCAUAGAAAAUAUGUAAACAAGGGGGCCUGACUGUUCAAAUAAAAUUAGACACUGCCAUAA